This 203-nucleotide unclassified non-coding RNA is filed under the name uncultured fungus. Its description in RNAcentral is "sequence contains ITS1, 5.8S rRNA gene". The record is from RNAcentral. RNAcentral also lists the same sequence under 1 other name. Lineage: Eukaryota; Fungi.
UCCAUCUAAACCAGGUGCUGGUCGCGGCCCUCGGGGGUUCUCUCCUGGGUGGUAGGGGCUAACACCCUUCACGCGUUGCCGCAUUCUGUAAUCCUUUUUUUACGAGCACCUUUCGUUCUCCUUCGGUGGGGCAACCUGCCGCUGGAACUUAACAAAACCUUUUUUGCAUCUAGCAUUACCUGUUCUGAUACAAACAAUCGUUA